Unclassified non-coding RNA from Ursus americanus (American black bear), 302 nucleotides. Its record names the gene 7SK. It matches the Rfam family "7SK RNA". Rfam says of the family: 7SK was discovered as an abundant small nuclear RNA in the mid-70s but a possible function has only recently been suggested. Two independent studies have found that 7SK RNA binds the CDK9/cyclin T complex (known as elongation factor P-TEFb). P-TEFb activates transcription by phosphorylating the C-terminal domain of RNA polymerase II. NCBI's taxonomy places the organism in Eukaryota, Metazoa, Chordata, Mammalia, Carnivora, Ursidae. The record is from Ensembl.
GGAUGGGAAGGCAGUUUGGAUGUGACACCUGUCACCCUGUUCAUUGCCAGGGUUGAUUUCAGCUGGUCGGGCUGGCGAGGUGGUAGCCCUUUCCUCCCUCACCGCUCCAUGUGCAUCCCUCCUGAUCGAAGAGGAUGACCUUCCCCAAUAGAGGAGGACCAUUCUUUGGUCAAGGGUAUAUGAGUAGCUGCACUCCUCUGCUAGAACCUGAAAACAAGCUCUCAAAUGUAGACCUUCAGUGUAAGGAAAAUAGGUUUUAUUUUUCCUUGCCAUAUCUGCAGUCCCUAUCAAUAAGGCAUUCC